GGAAAGGACUUUCUGAGACCACUAAAGAGAUUCAUCAUGACAUGAGAGGGAGAAGCCAGGUCUUCAAGAAGGUACCAGGAAUAGGACUUCAAUGCAUCUCUCUAAGGAACACAAUUCAACAAAUCAGCCCAGGGCAGGACAUGGCGAGAGUAAGGGUGUCGUUUGGAUGGAGAGUUAGAGGCCUGCCUGAGGUGAGGAAGCAAUACCUACAGGUUCCAGACCAGAAGAAGAGUCAAGAGCAGGUCAAGAGUUUGCUUCAGUGUCCAGGGUGGCUGAGGACCCUGAAAUGAUACAGAGGAGAUGAACAUCCGGGUUACAUUCAGUGAAGUUCUGACCACAUGCUGAGGUGAUACUGAACAGUCAUCGUUCUUUUCCUGUUGGCUUCUUACUUUGGAACACGUGUUCAUUCACUGGGAUCUUCUGAUGUUGUCUCCUCACCUGGGGAUGUUAAUAUAUGCUUGAAAUACCAUCUCCAGCCCCUGUGCUCACAUCUCUAGCAUCAAGUUCUGUCUAACUAGGAACAUUGUGUCAAGGGUGGGGCUUGGUGAACAAAGAAUCCACUUAGGCAAUGGGGCUAUGCCUGAGAUUUGUGAAAAUAAGUAAAAUGGCAAGGCCUGCUAAUGCCUAAUGGAAGGAGAGGUGAUAUGUGGCCCAGAAAAGACUCUAGAUCUGGAGGCAUGGGAACUAUCUUUUCUCUGACUUCUUGACAAUCUGGAAUAAGCUACUUGGCAUCCAUGAAUUAAUAAGAAUAGUGACUGUGUUGCCUCUACCAUUUCAUACAGAGUACACAAACCACCACACAGCAAGUAGCACUUAGCUGAUACCUGCUCGGGGUCAGACACCUUCUCAGCAUUUUAAACACUCCAACUCAGUUACCACAAAUAUCCAUGACAUGCCUAGUGCCAUCAUUCUCCUUAUACACAGAGAGGCAAGUGACUUCCCAGGGUCACUCAGCUAGGAGAUGGCAAGCUGGGACCUGAAGUUAAUAUUUUAUGGUCUCAGAAUUGUACCACUUAUUUCUCUAUACAAUAUACUAUGUCAUCACCUCAAAAUGCAAUGAUAAUGAAUUCCACUGUACUUACUUACAAUAUAAACUCUUCUGUCUUUAAGACUUUUAGAGUAUGACUAAUUUACAUAGUUUGACAGAAGACAAAUUCUUUCAGAAAGUUACAUGUGGGAUUUGGGUAUUUUUUAAUCUCAGAACUCUGGGUACCUGUGGUGCAGCUAAGGUAACUUUUCUUGGUAAGGAAGUUGCUAGGAAUUGAAGCUAGAACCUCAAACAUGUUAAGUACAUGCUUUAUCACUGUUAUACCUCCAGCCUCUUAGGCUUCAGUUUUAUAGUCAGACAGCUAAAGCAUAAUACAGUUAGAUCAACUGGUGGGUCUGUUUGGUUAAAAGUUCAAAUCAUUUUCUAGGCAGAAUAGCAAAACUUUGAAAAAGAUAACAAGCACAGUCAGAUAACCUGUUGUUGUGUAAUGGUGUAGAAGUCAGACAAAUAGCACUGGUUGUAUAAAUUCCAUAUGGUUUAUAGAAGGUUACCUU
Long non-coding RNA from Nannospalax galili (Upper Galilee mountains blind mole rat), 1542 nucleotides. RefSeq lists it as uncharacterized. The record is from RefSeq and is a predicted model, not a curated record. The transcript has 3 exons. NCBI's taxonomy places the organism in Eukaryota, Metazoa, Chordata, Mammalia, Rodentia, Spalacidae.